CGGCGUGGCUAAGACAUGCAAGUCGCACGGAGGUAGCAAUACCUUAGUGGCGAACGGGUGAGUAAUGUAUCGCUAACGUACCCUUAAGUCCGGGAUAGCCAGGGGAAAACUCUGGGUAAUACCGGGUGACAUCUUCCUUUCGCAUGGAGGGAAGCUCAAAGGAGCAAUCCGCUGAAGGAGCGGGCGAUAUCGUAUCAGCUAGUUGGUGAGGUAACGGCUCACCAAGGCGAACGAACGCGUAGCCGGACUGAGAGGUCGGUCGGCCACAUUGGGACUGAGACACUGCCCAGAACUCCUACGGGGGGCUGCAGUAACGAAUCUUCCGCAAUGCACGCAAGUGUGACGGAGCGACGCCGCGUGUGGGACAAAGUCCUUCGGGAUGUAAACCACUGUCAGGGGUUACCAAGUUCUGAGGAGCCCCAGAAGGAAGGGACGGCUAACUCUGUGCCAGCAGCCGCGGUAAU
This 464-nucleotide ribosomal RNA is filed under the name uncultured bacterium. RNAcentral's name for it is "bacterial SSU rRNA". It matches the Rfam family "Bacterial small subunit ribosomal RNA", at positions 40 to 524 of the family's 1533-position model. The record is from RNAcentral.